UUAAAAAAAGAACUUGCGGUAAGUCUGUUUUUAUAUUGUAAGACAACUUAAAUGUGGAUGAAUUGCACAAGAAAAGGCUAACAUUUUUCAAACUUAACAAAAAUAAUGUUUAUUUGAAAAAUAUUUGAGAUUCAAAGAUUAUGAGCCCAGUUACGUCAAAAAAUAAAUCCUGAAGAAAUGGAAUCCCCACGAGGUCUUCUAUUCGAAUACCUUGAAAUAAAUUUGUUCUUUUGCGAGCAAUACACACGCAUACAAAACGCAGAGUGCAGACCCCUAAACCCCCUAAGGAUUUCGGAAAUUUCACAGGCGCGUUUUUUCGUUUGGUGGAGAAGGUAACUGAGGAUGUCGAUCGAUAGUUCUUGGGAUAUCGAGCAAUAUCGAAAUGAACAUGAGCCACCCGAACAUUGGGAGCUAUGUAAGAACUUCAUACUGGCACACAAGAAGGACUUUCCAGAAGAAAAACUUAUUUGUUUGGCUCAAGUUUUUGCAAACAUGGAGUUUCUUGGAUGCAGAUACCCACAGGAGACCAUGGACUUGGUGAAUGAGCUGGCUGCCGGUGUGGUAGAGGACUUCCGAGAGCAGAGGAAGUCAAAGAUACAGCGCACAUUCAUUGGCGCCGCGUCGGCCGCAGAAGCCAAGGUGAAGCGGAGCAAAACACUGCCGCCACCGCAACACAUCAAAUGACGAACCGCCGGUAUCGAACAACGCUGUUUCCUGGGAGCCGGGCUCGGAGGGAUUGGAGUGUAGAUGUGAGUGCUAUUUUAUGUCGGGACUCUGAAUCUGAUGUCUGGGUAACCGCCUACUCGCAGCCCGCAGGAGGCCGUCACUGGCUCGUGGAGCUCCCGUUCAAGAUCAACUUGUGCUCCAGGUUUUGAUGUGUUUUGUCGGUCGCUUCAAUCGCGUGACGUUCCUGUCACCAUAUAGGCAUAUAGAUACUUUAUAAUGUGUCUCAUGCGUCACACAUUUUCACACUGUAUUUAACAAAUACAUGCCAUACAUUUCG
Long non-coding RNA from Amphibalanus amphitrite, 1003 nucleotides. RefSeq lists it as uncharacterized. Lineage: Eukaryota; Metazoa; Arthropoda; Thecostraca; Balanomorpha; Balanidae. The record is from RefSeq and is a predicted model, not a curated record. The transcript is spliced from 2 exons.